RNAcentral lists this non-coding RNA (266 nucleotides) under Vibrio tapetis subsp. tapetis. The record is from RNAcentral. Lineage: Bacteria; Pseudomonadati; Pseudomonadota; Gammaproteobacteria; Vibrionales; Vibrionaceae.
CUUUGCCUUUUAAUUUACCCGCGAGCCAACCUACCUUGAUUGGCUGGCCGUUGAGUUCGAUAUUACCCAACCAGUUGGAAAAAUUAAUCGCAUGUUGCUCUGCUAAUAAUUCCGUUGGCGCCAUUAACGCAACUUGAUGGCCGUGCUCUAACGCCCGAAGCGCGGCGAGGGCAGCAACCAAGGUUUUACCCGAACCGACAUCACCUUGCACCAAUCGCAUCAUAGGGUGAGGCUUCGCUAAGUCUGUUUCAAUCUCAUUAACCACU